Molecule: ribosomal RNA, 459 nt
Filed under: Tortus sp. MCZ IZ 45645
Lineage: Eukaryota; Metazoa; Nemertea; Enopla; Monostilifera; Emplectonematidae
Description: partial 16S ribosomal RNA
Rfam family: Bacterial large subunit ribosomal RNA
Source: RNAcentral
AGUCUUUUGCAUUUUUAUAAAAGAUGUUUUUUGCUCAGUGUUUUUAAAUAGCCGCGGUAAUUUGACCGUGCAAAGGUAGCAUAAUCAUUUGCUCUAUAAUUGAGGGCUGGAAUGAAUGGAAGAACAAGGUGUCUGCUUUAUUUUAAAGAAAAAAAAAAUUUUCUUUUUUAGUGAAGAAGCUAAAAUUAAAUUGGGGGACAAGAAGACCCUUUUGAGCUUUAUUAGCAGUAUUUUUUUUUGGUUUUGUUAAUUUGGUUGGGGCGACCAAGGAAGAAAAAAUCUUCCUUUACAACUUUGACCCGGGGGUCCCGAGUGAUGAAAUAAGCUACCAAAGGGAUAACAGCGUAAUUUUUUUCGUGAGUUCUUAUCAAAAGGAGAGAUUGCGACCUCGAUGUUGACUUAUGGUUUCCUUUUGGUGCAGCCGCUAAUAGGGUGGGUCUGUUCGACCUUUAAAACCUU